Molecule: ribosomal RNA, 774 nt
Filed under: uncultured Neocallimastigales
Lineage: Eukaryota; Fungi; Neocallimastigomycota; Neocallimastigomycetes; Neocallimastigales
Description: partial large subunit ribosomal RNA
Rfam family: Eukaryotic large subunit ribosomal RNA
Source: RNAcentral
UAUCUCUGUAGAGUCUGCAUAUCAAUAAGCGGAGGAAAAGAAACUAACUAGGAUUCCCUCAGUAACGGCGAGUGAAGCGGGAAGAGCUCAAAUUUGAAAUCUUCAAGGUUUUACCUUGACGAAUUGUAGUUUAAAGAAGUGUUUUCUGUUGGAGUUUUGGUAAAAGUUCUUUGGAAUAGGACAUCAUAGAGGGUGAGAAUCCCGUAUUUGACCAUUAUUUCCAGCUUUGUGAUACACUUUCAAAGAGUCGGAUUGUUUGGGAAUGCAGUCCAAAAUGGGUGGUAAAUUUCAUCUAAAGCUAAAUACUGGCGAGGGACCGAUAGCGAACAAGUACCGUGAGGGAAAGAUGAAAAGAACUUUGAAAAGAGAGUUAAACAGUACGUGAAAUUGUCAAAAGGGAAGCGUUUGACACCAGUGUUGUUUUCUCGAAAAUCAAUUAAAAAAGGCAGGAUUUUGUGUUGUAUUGACUUUAUCAGCUUUCUGCACUCUUUUCUUGUCUUUUUUAAUGCACUUUUCGUUUAACAAGUCAACAUCAAUCUCUUUUGUUGUAAAAGGGUCAUUGGAAGGUGGCUUUCUUUUCGGAGAAAGUGUUUAUAGCCUUUGGCCUCUGCAAUCGGAGAGAUUGAGGUCUGCAGCGUAGAUCCUUCGGGGUUAGAUACAUUUGUGCUAAGUUAUAGCCUUUCAUAGACAACUUGUUGACUAUGAUCAGUCAUGUAGCUUACUCGCUUAUGCUAUUUUACCUACGCUUAGGAUGUUGAGUCAUCACACAUCUCU